This 671-nucleotide long non-coding RNA is filed under the name Hordeum vulgare. RNAcentral's name for it is "long non-coding RNA (HVUL_LNC006340)". The record is from RNAcentral. Lineage: Eukaryota; Viridiplantae; Streptophyta; Magnoliopsida; Poales; Poaceae.
CACCCUGGGGGACAAGGAAGUUAAAGAAAAUUUUGGCAGUGCUAUUCAAGAACUAAAUCAGCCUCUGAACUCUCUAGUCUCUCCAUUCUCUUUCAUUCUUGUUCUUUAUUUGCAGAAAAGAGUCUCUUUGGUGGCAUUUCCGGUAGUUGUAUUUACCCUGGCGCACAAAAAUUGCAAAAUCGCUAAGAACCAUGUCAUCAAACAGAUUCAGAAAAAAUGGAUGACAAGUUCCUGCAUAUUGACAUUGGUGUUCUUCUCACCCGUCAGCAAUUUUGCAGAGGUAGUCCCGUUGAUCGUCUCGAAGUGGAACAUCAGUGAAAUCUGGAGAGGGAAAACAGUUGAAAACAUGACAUGGUGAUGCCACAGUACAGUAAGAUGAUUUCACUAUGCCACUAUGACAGUAAGUUCAACUAUCUUCAUGGAGAUAAGCAGUUAGCACUUAGGACUUGCCUGCCCCGUAUAUGUUGGAACCUUUGAAAGAAGUGUUCCCGGUCACAAGUGCCCCUUCCAAGUUGGCAUUUGUUAAAUUUACCUGCAGAACGGAACCAGAUUGCUGUGAAACCAUAUUCCAAAAUUAAGGCACUAUGCUAAAACUCAAUAAAGAGAAAAACAGAAUAGGAUAGUACUAGUCUGAUGCUCUGACGACCAGAUGUGAUGGUCACUGAACCGAC